This 553-nucleotide ribosomal RNA is filed under the name uncultured Ascomycota. Its description in RNAcentral is "eukaryotic LSU rRNA". The stretch from base 214 to 367 matches the Rfam family "5.8S ribosomal RNA". The record is from RNAcentral. Lineage: Eukaryota; Fungi; Ascomycota.
GUAAAAGUCGUAACAAGGUUUCCGUAGGUGAACCUGCGGAAGGAUCAUUACAGAGAACUUGCCCUUCGGGGUAGAUCUCCCACCCUUUGUUAACAUUACCUAUGUUGCUUUGGCAGGCCAGACAUUUCGUCUACCGGCCUAGGCUGGACAGCGCCUGCCAGAGGACCCAAACUCUUUUAUUUGAAUGUCGUCUGAGUACUAUAUAAUAGUUAAAACUUUCAACAACGGAUCUCUUGGUUCUGGCAUCGAUGAAGAACGCAGCGAAAUGCGAUAAGUAAUGUGAAUUGCAGAAUUCAGUGAAUCAUCGAAUCUUUGAACGCACAUUGCGCCCUCUGGUAUUCCGGGGGGCAUGCCUGUUCGAGCGUCAUUACAACCCUCAAGCUCUGCUUGGUAUUGGGUGUCACACCUGCGUGCACCCUAAAAUCAGUGGCGAUGCCCUGCAGCUUCAAGCGUAGUAAAUCUCUCGCUCCGGAGUCUGUCAGGAGCAGUGCCAACAACCCUCUAUAACAUCAAAGGUUGACCUCGGAUCAGGUAGGGAUACCCGCUGAACUUA